RNAcentral lists this long non-coding RNA (200 nucleotides) under Medicago truncatula (barrel medic). RNAcentral describes it as "long non-coding RNA (MTRU_LNC003937)". The record is from RNAcentral. Lineage: Eukaryota; Viridiplantae; Streptophyta; Magnoliopsida; Fabales; Fabaceae.
UACAGACAUUACCCUCUCUAUAUACAGGAGAGAAAAUGAAGUUAAUAUUCUUUACAAAAAACAAACAGUUCUACCAUCUAUUCCUAAGGACCCAGGGAACAUUUGCAGAAGACUUGAGUGCCAAGCAAACCAGUUGAGAGUCAGUUUCCAACCAUAAAUGAAUGUAACCUUUACUUUGAGCAGUUUCCAUGGCAAGAAUA